This 253-nucleotide ribosomal RNA is filed under the name uncultured bacterium. Its description in RNAcentral is "partial 16S ribosomal RNA". It matches the Rfam family "Bacterial small subunit ribosomal RNA", at positions 524 to 776 of the family's 1533-position model. The record is from RNAcentral.
UACGAAGGGGGCUAGCGUUGCUCGGAAUUACUGGGCGUAAAGGGAGCGUAGGCGGAUAGUUUAGUCAGAGGUGAAAGCCCAGGGCUCAACCUUGGAAUUGCCUUUGAUACUGGCCAUCUUGAGUACGGAAGAGGUAUGUGGAACUCCGAGUGUAGAGGUGAAAUUCGUAGAUAUUCGGAAGAACACCAGUGGCGAAGGCGACAUACUGGUCCGUUACUGACGCUGAGGCUCGAAAGCGUGGGGAGCAAACAGG